AGCAUUCUAUGCUGGACCGGUUCAUGUUAAGUCUGAGUUCCUCAAUCGCUGGCUCUCAGGAGCUGUUUGGAAAAUUCAUUGCCAUGCAUGAGUCGGGGGAUUGGUAUUUUUUCCACUGGAAACUGUUAAUGGGGACUGCAUUAGCGGCCCCUUAUCGCUUUGCCUGAUAGAGAGACAGCAGGUUCGCCCAAACAAUUCUGGAACCCUGAUCACUGCCAAUUAGGGGAGUAUUGUCUGGCUGACAUAAUCAAAUUUUAAGUAACCAAGAGGAGUGGUUUAAGGCGGAGCUUGGGAGCCAGGAAGGAUAUGUGCCCAAGAAUUUCAUAGACAUCCAGUUUCCCGAAUGGUUUCACGAAGGCCUCUCUCGACACCAGGCAGAGAACUUACUCAUGGGCAAGGAGGUUGGUUUCUUCAUCAUCCGGGCCAGCCAGAGCUCCCCAGGGGACUUCUCCAUCUCUGUCAGGCAUGAGGAUGACGUUCAACACUUCAAGGUCAUGCGAGACAACAAGGGUAAUUACUUUCUGUGGACUGAGAAGUUUCCAUCCCUAAAUAAGCUGGUGGACUACUACAGGACAAAUUCCAU
RNAcentral lists this small RNA (583 nucleotides) under Pongo abelii (Sumatran orangutan). Its description in RNAcentral is "processed transcript". Lineage: Eukaryota; Metazoa; Chordata; Mammalia; Primates; Hominidae. The record is from RNAcentral.